This 301-nucleotide ribosomal RNA is filed under the name uncultured bacterium. Its description in RNAcentral is "partial 16S ribosomal RNA". It matches the Rfam family "Bacterial small subunit ribosomal RNA", at positions 509 to 807 of the family's 1533-position model. The record is from RNAcentral.
CAGCAGCCGCGGUAAUACGGAGGGCGCGAGCGUUACCCGGAUUUACUGGGCGUAAAGGGCGUGUAGGCGGCCUGGGGCGUCCCAUGUGAAAGGCCACGGUUCAACCGUGGAGGAGCGUGGGAUACGCUCAGGCUAGAGGGUGGGAGAGGGUGGUGGAAUUCCCGGAGUAGCGGUGAAAUGCGCAGAUACCGGGAGGAACGCCGAUGGCGAAGGCAGCCACCUGGUCCACUUCUGACGCUGAGGCGCGAAAGCGUGGGGAGCAAACCGGAUUAGAUACCCCAGUAGUCCCUGUCUCUUAUAC